GAUGAACGCUGGCGGCGUGCCUAAUACAUUCAAGUCGAGCGAACGGACGAGAAGCUUGUUUCUCUGAUGUUAGCGGCGGACGGGUGAGUAACACGUGGAUAACCUACCUAUAAGACUGGUAUCACUUCGGGACACCGGCGCUAAUACCGGAUAAUAUUUUGCACCGCAUUGUUCAUAAGUGAAAUACGGUCUUGCUGUCUCUUAUAGAUGGUUCCGCGCUGCAUUAGCUAGUUGGUAAGGUAACGGCUUACCAAGGCAACGAUGCAUAGCCGACCUGAGAGGGUGAUCGGCCACACUGGAACUGAGACACGGUCCAGACUCCUACGGGAGGCAGCAGUAGGGAAUCUUCCGCAAUGGGCGAAAGCCUGACGGAGCAACGCCGCGUGAGUGAUGAAGGUCUUCGGAUCGUAAAACUCUGUUAUUAGGGAAGAACAUAUGUGUAAGUAACUGUGCACAUCUUGACGGUACCUAAUCAGAAAGCCACGGCUAACUACGUG
This 497-nucleotide ribosomal RNA is filed under the name uncultured bacterium. RNAcentral's name for it is "partial 16S ribosomal RNA". It matches the Rfam family "Bacterial small subunit ribosomal RNA", at positions 28 to 507 of the family's 1533-position model. The record is from RNAcentral.